Molecule: transfer RNA, 77 nt
Filed under: Candidatus Peregrinibacteria bacterium HGW-Peregrinibacteria-1
Lineage: Bacteria; Candidatus Peregrinibacteriota
Description: tRNA-Pro
Rfam family: tRNA
About the family: Transfer RNA (tRNA) molecules are approximately 80 nucleotides in length.
Source: RNAcentral
CGGGAUGUAGCUCAGUUGGCUAGAGUGCAUGGUUUGGGACCAUGAGGCCCUGGGUUCGAGUCCCAGCAUCCCGACCA